AUACCCUUAGGUAAGGAAUAAUGUCUGGAAACGGACACUAAUACCUUAUAAUGACUCCGGUCCAAAGAUUUAUCGCCUAGGGAUUAGCCCGCGUCUGAUUAGUUUGUUGGUGAGGUAAUGGCUCACCAAGACGAUGAUCAGUAGGGGGUCUGAGAGGAUGAUCCCCCACACUGGUACUGAGACACGGACCAGACUCCUACGGGAGGCAGCAGUGAGGAAUAUUGGACAAUGGGGGCAACCCUGAUCCAGCCAUGCCGCGUGAGUGAAGAAGGCCUUAGGGUUGUAAAGCUCUUUCAAUAGUGAAGAUAAUGACGGUAACUAUAGAAGAAGCCCCGGCUAAAUUCGUGCCAGCAGCCGCGGUAAUACGAAUGGGGCAAGCGUUGUUCGGAAUCACUGGGCUUAAAGCGUGCGU
RNAcentral lists this ribosomal RNA (412 nucleotides) under uncultured bacterium. RNAcentral's name for it is "bacterial SSU rRNA". It matches the Rfam family "Bacterial small subunit ribosomal RNA", at positions 126 to 572 of the family's 1533-position model. The record is from RNAcentral.